GGAGGUGGUAUUUAUAGAUAAAUCAAGACAAACUCUUGAUGGAAAAUAAUAUGUCGGGACUUCGUUGAAAGUUUUAAAUUUCAAAUGGCUACAUAAUUUUUAUAAUUUUCAUCGGUAAUCAAUCGAAAAUUACCAACAUAUUACCGAUAGAUUUGAGAUUCAGGAAUUUCAACAGAUAGCUAACAAGUAGUUCUUUUGUAGGAAAUUCAUCGGUAAUUUUCCAACAGGCUGUUAUUGUCGAGAAUUCCUGACGGAUUCCCGGUGAUUUUCU
Molecule: long non-coding RNA, 271 nt
Filed under: Brassica napus (rape)
Lineage: Eukaryota; Viridiplantae; Streptophyta; Magnoliopsida; Brassicales; Brassicaceae
Description: long non-coding RNA (BNAP_LNC019731)
Source: RNAcentral